GGGCCCGCACAAGCGGUGGAGUAUGUGGUUUAAUUCGAUGCAACGCGAAGAACCUUACCAGGGUUUGACAUCCUGCGAAUUUCUGGGAAACCGGAAAGUGCCUUCGGGAGCGCAGUGACAGGUGGUGCAUGGCUGUCGUCAGCUCGUGUCGUGAGAUGUUGGUUAAGUCCCGCAACGAGCGCAACCCACGUCUUUAGUUGCCAGCAUUUAGUUGGGCACUCUAGAGAGACCGCCGGUGAUAAACCGGAGGAAGGUGUGGAUGACGUCAAGUCAUCAUGCCCCUUACAUCCUGGGCUACACACGGUACUACAAUGCUACGGACAAAGGGCAGCAAACUCGCGAGAUUGAG
RNAcentral lists this ribosomal RNA (349 nucleotides) under uncultured bacterium. RNAcentral describes it as "bacterial SSU rRNA". It matches the Rfam family "Bacterial small subunit ribosomal RNA", at positions 917 to 1267 of the family's 1533-position model. The record is from RNAcentral.